GGCGAACGCUGGCGGCGUGCUUAACACAUGCAAGUCGAACGGAAAGGCCCUGCUUUUGUGGGGUGCUCGAGUGGCGAACGGGUGAGUAACACGUGAGUAACCUGCCCUUGACUUUGGGAUAACUUCAGGAAACUGGGGCUAAUACCGGAUAGGAGCUCCUGCUGCAUGGUGGGGGUUGGAAAGUUUCGGCGGUUGGGGAUGGACUCGCGGCUUAUCAGCUUGUUGGUGGGGUAGUGGCUUACCAAGGCUUUGACGGGUAGCCGGCCUGAGAGGGUGACCGGCCACAUUGGGACUGAGAUACGGCCCAGACUCCUACGGGAGGCAGCAGUGGGGAAUAUUGCACAAUGGGCGGAAGCCUGAUGCAGCAACGCCGCGUGCGGGAUGACGGCCUUCGGGUUGUAAACCGCUUUCGCCUGUGACGAAGCGUGAGUGACGGUAAUGGGUAAAGAAGCACCGGCUAACUACGUGCCAGCAGCCGCGGUGAUACGUAGGGUGCGAGCGUUGUCCGGAUUUAUUGGGCGUAAAGGGCUCGUAGGUGGUUGAUCGCGUCGGAAGUGUAAUCUUGGGGCUUAACCCUGAGCGUGCUUUCGAUACGGGUUGACUUGAGGAAGGUAGGGGAGAAUGGAAUUCCUGGUGGAGCGGUGGAAUGCGCAGAUAUCAGGAGGAACACCAGUGGCGAAGGCGGUUCUCUGGGCCUUUCCUGACGCUGAGGAGCGAAAGCGUGGGGAGCGAACAGGCUUAGAUACCCUGGUAGUCCACGCUGUAAACGGUGGGUACUAGGUGUGGGGUCCAUUCCACGGGUUCCGUGCCGUAGCUAACGCUUUAAGUACCCCGCCUGGGGAGUACGGCCGCAAGGCUAAAACUCAAAGGAAUUGACGGGGCCCCGCACAAGCGGCGGAGCAUGCGGAUUAAUUCGAUGCAACGCGUAGAACCUUACCUGGGUUUGACAUGGAUCGGGAGCGCUCAGAGAUGGGUGUGCCUCUUUUGGGGUCGGUUCACAGGUGGUGCAUGGCUGUCGUCAGCUCGUGUCGUGAGAUGUUGGGUUAAGUCCCGCAACGAGCGCAACCCUUGUUCACUGUUGCCAGCACGUUAUGGUGGGGACUCAGUGGAGACCGCCGGGGUCAACUCGGAGGAAGGUGGGGAUGACGUCAAGUCAUCAUGCCCCUUAUGUCCAGGGCUUCACGCAUGCUACAAUGGCUGGUACAGAGAGUGGCGAGCCUGUGAGGGUGAGCGAAUCUCGGAAAGCCGGUCUCAGUUCGGAUUGGGGUCUGCAACUCGACCUCAUGAAGUCGGAGUCGCUAGUUAUCGCAGAUCAGCAACGCUGCGGUGAAUACGUUCCUGGGGCU
This 1346-nucleotide ribosomal RNA is filed under the name uncultured bacterium. RNAcentral's name for it is "bacterial SSU rRNA". It matches the Rfam family "Bacterial small subunit ribosomal RNA", at positions 28 to 1381 of the family's 1533-position model. The record is from RNAcentral.